GAAACCUCUUGUUCUCCUUUUUGCUUGAUUUCUCCCACAAAAACAUGCUCAAAAGCAGAAGAGGAACCAGAUGUUCCACCCCGACCAUAAAGAUCGAACCACAGGCUAGUCAGUAAACGUUUAAAAUCUUGAUAGUUAUUGGAUGCAACUCCCUUGGAUGAAAGAUACUUGUGAAGGUACUUAAUUGGUGCAGUUCUACUAAUU
Molecule: unclassified non-coding RNA, 204 nt
Filed under: Hevea brasiliensis (rubber tree)
Lineage: Eukaryota; Viridiplantae; Streptophyta; Magnoliopsida; Malpighiales; Euphorbiaceae
Source: RNAcentral